AAAAAGGAAAAAGAAAUGGGUUUCCAAUUUUUUAAGUUGACGAAAAAAAAACGUGCGACAGCGGCCACCUCAUUCGCAGCGGCCUACAGCUACAGCAACAACAACCACAACAAACUCGCGUCACAUUUAGGCCAGUUCAUCUCUACAAUGUUACCUCUUCCCUUUCUUCUUCAUGGCGCUAGACAAGCUCGUCAAAGGCUACAGCUGAUAAGCCUUCAUAAACUUGGUAUUUUUGGAUGCACGAGUAGCAAUAACAAUUACACUAGAAGACAGAAUGCUGUAUACCUUCGAAGGUUUUCUUCAAACAGCGAUGGAAUUAACGAUCUACCCACAAGCCAAACUCAGGAGGAGACACUGGGAAAAGGAGUGGCCGAGCUGGACAUCUUUGAAGACACUUUUAAAAGAUCGCUUAAGGAAGAGCAUGUCUUUAUCAUUCAGCCAGAUUUCAAAUGGGGCAAAGGGCGGUUUCUCAGUAAGGCUGUAAACAGCCGCCUUGACGAGGCUGCAGCCCUUGUCCAAACUGUUACCAACUGGAAAGUCCAGGAAGGGCAGAUUGAGUCAAUGCAUGAGAUCAAUGCAAAACAUUAUUUCGGAUCAGGAAAACUAAAAGAGUUGCAAAAUAAAAUCGGGCAGUUAAGGCACAGUAAUAAAUUGACAGGCGUUUUUAUCAAUGUUGGAAAGCUUAGUCGCAGGCAAACAAGUCAUUUGGAGGAAGCUUUUAAGUGUUCAGUGUACGACAGGUACAAAAUUGUUUUGGAAAUAUUCAAGGAAAGGGCAAAAACAAAAGAAGCAAAGUUGCAAGUCAAACUUGCUGAACUAAUAUACGAGAGGUGGCAUUUAUCUUCGGACAAUGUUACUUAUGACCAACAGCGGGGAGGUACAAUGUCAGUUGGAGGAAGUGGGGAGACUCAUCUGGAAAUGAAAAGAAGGCUGUUGAAUGAAAAAGAAGCAAAGAUUCGAAAAGAGCUGAGGCAUAUUGAAAACCAAAGAAAGCAGAAUAGGACAGAGAGAGUUAAUAAGCAUGUGCCACAGAUUGCAUUGAUAGGUUACACAAAUGCAGGUAAAACAACAUUAGCAAGGGCGCUGUCUGGAGAUGCAAAACUAGAGCCUGAAGACAGGCUAUUUGCUACACUUGAUACAACUGCUCAUAGAGGAAAACUACCCUGUGGUCUUGGGGUUAUAUAUAUUGAUACAGUUGGUUUUAUAUCGGAUCUACCACAUGAGCUUAUUCAGUCAUUUUCAGCCACACUUGAAGAUGUUAAAAACUCUACAUUGCUUGUGCAUGUGCGUGAUAUGACAAAUCCAGAAUAUGAGCUGCAGAAGCAGAGUGUCAUGCAGGUACUGCAAAAUCUUGAGGUUGAUGCCAACUUAUUGCAAAACAUGGUGGAGGUUCAUAAUAAAGCUGAUUUAAGGCAAGGAGCAAAUUCACUACCAGAUGAGGACAAUGAUAGUGUCCCUGUGUCUGCAUUAAAGGGAAAUGGAAUAGAGGACUUAAAAUUUGUUGUUGAAAACAAAGUUUUUGAUGCCACAGAAAGGAGGAUAUAUUCACUUGAAGUUGACCCACAAGGACCACUCUUAAGUUGGCUGCAUCAUCAUGCAACGGUGCUGAACACCGAUUAUGAGAAGGGUAACACUUUAAGCAUUCAAGCAAUAAUGGACUCUGAAACGUAUGCAAAAUGGAUGGGAAUGGCAAGAAAGAUAAAAAAGAUAAUCAGGGUCCUUCUGAGUCCGGCAUAAUAAGAGUAGCCAAACAAAAUUAUGUAUAAUGGCAAUUAUGGCCGAGAGCACAACAACAAAUCCCUUUUUGUUCACAAUUGACACUUACGAACCCGUUUCAAAUACUGCUAGGAAACCGCUGAGUACAAACAGGGUAUCGCACUCCCUUUGGCGACGCCCCUGCAAGAAAUGCGGGCCAGUAGAAAGUUGCUUGCGGGACGAUCCGUCGUCGGGUCAAAUUUCCCUUGUACGUGCUUUGGUUAACGAAG
Rhopilema esculentum is the source of this 1985-nucleotide non-coding RNA. The record is from RefSeq and is a predicted model, not a curated record. Lineage: Eukaryota; Metazoa; Cnidaria; Scyphozoa; Rhizostomeae; Rhizostomatidae.